This 467-nucleotide ribosomal RNA is filed under the name uncultured bacterium. RNAcentral describes it as "partial 16S ribosomal RNA". It matches the Rfam family "Bacterial small subunit ribosomal RNA", at positions 29 to 507 of the family's 1533-position model. The record is from RNAcentral.
ACGAACGCUGGCGGCGUGCUUAACACAUGCAAGUCGAACGGAAAGGCCCUGCUUUUGUGGGGUGCUCGAGUGGCGAACGGGUGAGUAACACGUGAGUAACCUGCCCUUGACUUUGGGAUAACUUCAGGAAACUGGGGCUAAUACCGGAUAGGAGCUCCUGCUGCUGGGUGGGGGUUGGAAAGUUUCGGCGGUUGGGGAUGGACUCGCGGCUUAUCAGCUUGUUGGUGGGGUAGUGGCUUACCAAGGCUUUGACGGGUAGCCGGCCUGAGAGGGUGACCGGCCACAUUGGGACUGAGAUACGGCCCAGACUCCUACGGGAGGCAGCAGUGGGGAAUAUUGCACAAUGGGCGGAAGCCUGAUGCAGCAACGCCGCGUGCGGGAUGACGGCCUUCGGGUUGUAAACCGCUUUCGCCUGUGACGAAGCGUGAGUGACGGUAAUGGGUAAAGAAGCACCGGCUAACUACGUG